AUCAUAAACAUGCUAAGCUGACUUCGCUCAACCAGAAACACGACUUCCCCCACAAUGAGAUGCAAGAAUUUAAAGCAAUCUCAAUCCAAGUCUAGUUUAUAUUUGAAGUAUACCAAAUUUUCCAAAUAUUUUCUACUCAUGGUGAACGGUGCUUCUGAAAACAGGAUAGUAAACAUCCAAUUCAAGCUGCUCCAAAAUCUGCUGUGUAGCCCAUAGAUAGGAAGAGUGGCCUUCAAUAAUAUCAGUAAUAUCAAUAUUCUCGAUCCCUGGAACAU
RNAcentral lists this unclassified non-coding RNA (275 nucleotides) under Hevea brasiliensis (rubber tree). The record is from RNAcentral. Lineage: Eukaryota; Viridiplantae; Streptophyta; Magnoliopsida; Malpighiales; Euphorbiaceae.